AAGGGACUAGUCUAGCAAAGACCUCUGAUUUCGGCUCAGAAAAUUAUGGUUAAAAUCCAUAGUCCCUCU
RNAcentral lists this transfer RNA (69 nucleotides) under Hyphessobrycon pulchripinnis. RNAcentral's name for it is "tRNA-Arg". It matches the Rfam family "tRNA". From Rfam's summary of the family: Transfer RNA (tRNA) molecules are approximately 80 nucleotides in length. Their secondary structure includes four short double-helical elements and three loops (D, anti-codon, and T loops). Lineage: Eukaryota; Metazoa; Chordata; Actinopteri; Characiformes; Acestrorhamphidae. The record is from RNAcentral.